Molecule: long non-coding RNA, 927 nt
Organism: Ostrea edulis (European flat oyster)
Lineage: Eukaryota; Metazoa; Mollusca; Bivalvia; Ostreida; Ostreidae
Exons: 2
Source: RefSeq, a predicted model, not a curated record
UGCUCAUGUCUUACCAUGUUCAAUGCUCAUGUCUUACCAUGUUCAAUAAUCUGUUCAAUAAUCACGUCUUAUCAUGUUCAAUCAUCUGUUCAAUAAUCACGUCUUACCCAUACAUGCCAACUUUCCUGAUUUUUGCGGGAUUUUCCCGAUUUGAAGCAGUUGAAAAGGCAAAUCCUGAUAUCCCGAUCGGGAUUGCAAAAAUACCCCGAAAUCCCGAUUUUCUAAAAAUAUCUCCCAUUUUUACGACAACAAACCCCCAUUUCCAACCGGAAUUUGAAAUCUCGCGUCAUUUCUGAACUGGCCAAUCAGAAAUCGGGACAAUAGUCAGCCAUUGCUGUUUACCUGUGUCGCAUGGUAUCGGAGUGAUGUAAUUUACUUGGUCUGCCCGUGUCGGGGUGCUUAUUGGACAGUGCGAAGCAUGUUUUAAUAGUAAUUAAUCGGGAAGACGGAUUUCAAAUUGACAUAUCCUUUACACAAACGUGAAUGGCAAUGAUAAUAGUGUCACCACCAAACAAUCGGACAUUCCCGAUUUUUGCCUCUAGCUGACAGCAUCCAAAAUAUGCAAUAUUAAAGAUGUCAUGGGUGCAAAGGUUUUGUUCGCAAACUUCAUAGCAGGGCAGAUCACUCCUUUUCUGGUUGCAAUGCAGAUUGUUCCACCAGACUCUGCAAGCCCAUGAAAUUGUUUACAGACAAGCAAGAUCGCCUUUGUAGUCGUACCUAAAUGCAUGUGCUUUAAUUUAAAUUUUGAUAUAUAGACCAGCCAAUGUAUAUAUGGUGUAAAAGGAUGCAACUUUAAGUAUUAUUUGAUAAUAUGUAUGUGAUUUGUUGGAGAGGAUUUUUUGCUGAAUAGAUGAUUUUAAUAAAAUAUCUAUCUAUAUCUUUCAAAGUUUUUUUUUUUAUAUAGUUUUGUUAAAGUUAAUGGUCAAA